This 633-nucleotide long non-coding RNA is filed under the name Mytilus galloprovincialis (Mediterranean mussel). The record is from RNAcentral. Lineage: Eukaryota; Metazoa; Mollusca; Bivalvia; Mytilida; Mytilidae.
AAUAUGAUGACUAACCGAAAAUAAAGCAACGUCUCUCAAAGACUGACAAGGUAGGAAGAGCCCCUGAUGAACGGGUGCAAGCUUUUUAUACCCCGAUGAAGCUAACGGGGUAACGAACGGUUCUUAACGGGGAAACGAACGGGGAACUGUGAACGGGCCUGACAAGAACGAAAAUAAUCCCCGAUUGCUAGAAUUAAGUACAUUAGAACGUAAACAACAUGUUUACGGAACAUAAAAAUCAUCUUACUACAAUUUACAAUCACAAACAAUAUAGUUUUAAUACAAUAAUCAUGUAAUAAUCGAUCUACAACCGCUAUAGUAUUCAUACACUGUUUUACGCUAGUGGUACAUUAAGUUCACCUGAGGUUACACAAAGGUCAGCUCAUUUGCAUAAUCAAUACACACAAAUCAUUGUGCCGGAAAUGGCGGUUGUAACGAUAAAGCGAAAGUUAAUUACACAGGUUGCCUCAAUUCUACAACAAUAAAAAUGGUUGAACACUGGGAAAACUGUAUGAAUAGAACACUGAAAGUAUAAUGCAUUGAAUUAAAAAGGUGAGAACCGGUGUCAAACUUUAAAAUAGCCAAAAAUUGAAUCGUAGCCGAUAACAGGUGCUCGACAUGAAAAUACACAUG